RNAcentral lists this ribosomal RNA (293 nucleotides) under uncultured bacterium. RNAcentral's name for it is "partial 16S ribosomal RNA". It matches the Rfam family "Bacterial small subunit ribosomal RNA", at positions 505 to 796 of the family's 1533-position model. The record is from RNAcentral.
GUGACAGCCGCCGCGGUAAUACGUAGGCAGCAAGCGUUGUUCGGAGUUACUGGGCGUAAAGGGUGUGUAGGCGGUUGUUUAAGUUUGGUGUGAAAUCUCCCGGCUCAACCGGGAGGGUGCGCCGAAUACUGAAUGACUUCGAGUGCGGGAGAGGAGAGUGGAAUUCCUGGUGUAGCGGUGAAAUGCGUAGAUAUCAGGAGGAACACCGGUGGUGUAGACGGCUCUCUGGACCGUAACUGACGCUGAGACACGAAAGCGUGGGUAGCAAACAGGAUUAGAUACCCUGGUAGUCC